Molecule: long non-coding RNA, 550 nt
Organism: Patella vulgata (common limpet)
Lineage: Eukaryota; Metazoa; Mollusca; Gastropoda; Patellidae
Exons: 3
Source: RefSeq, a predicted model, not a curated record
GUCCCGUAUACGCUCCAUGAGUGUUUUUCGGGGAAUCCAGUAUUUUUCUAGUAAGAUUGGAUAUUUCUACUUUCUAUAUAUACCAAAAUUACCAUACUUUUAUUGGAAAUAAUCACCCGAUAAAUACUUUUCUGGGACCCAUCUUUAAACCGUUUCUAUGUCGACUGCAGUUUUGUGGAGAGUAGGCUUGUGAACUAAAAGUUAACUCUGGUAAAGACGGCACUGGAAACUGAUGAAUUAUCAAGGGAACUGCACAGGUCUAAAAUAAAGGAUUAACCCCUGAUUAUUAAUAUUCCUGUUGUAUGUGAGGUUCUGUUUAUUAGACCUGGUUCAGCUGCGCCAUUUGCACCAUGGUAAAUCCGACACUAGAAAAAAACAACAUUUUCUUUGAUUGCAUCGACCAUCAUCUGAGGGACCUGACUUGGAACCAGAAGUUCUUAGUCUCUCAUAGUUGGACAAAAGAGAAAUGGUCCCAACUUACUGAAAAUCGAGAUCAGACUGGUGUAAAGUUCUGUAUAUCACCCUAACCAAACUAUAAUAAAGAUAUAUA